Molecule: non-coding RNA, 401 nt
Filed under: Corchorus capsularis
Lineage: Eukaryota; Viridiplantae; Streptophyta; Magnoliopsida; Malvales; Malvaceae
Description: Bacterial small subunit ribosomal RNA
Rfam family: Bacterial small subunit ribosomal RNA
Source: Rfam by way of RNAcentral
UGGGCACUCUAAUCGUACUGCCGGAGUUAAUCCGGAGGAAGGCGGGGAUGACGUCAAGUCCUCAUGGCCCUUACAAGGUGGGCUACACACGUGCUACAAUGGCGACUACAGAGGGCUGCAAUCCCGCGAGGGGGAGCCAAUCCCUAAAAGUCGUCUCAGUUCGGAUUGUUCUCUGCAACUCGAGAGCAUGAAGUUGGAAUCGCUAGUAAUCGCGGAUCAGCAUGCCGCGGUGAAUACGUUCCCGGGCCUUGUACACACCGCCCGUCACACCAUGGGAGUUGGCUUUACCCGAAGGCGCUGCGCUAACCGCAAGGAGGCAGGCGACCACGGUAGGGUCAGCGACUGGGGUGAAGUCGUAACAAGGUAGCCGUAGGGGAACCUGCGGCUGGAUCACCUCCUUU